Molecule: long non-coding RNA, 329 nt
Filed under: Triticum aestivum (bread wheat)
Lineage: Eukaryota; Viridiplantae; Streptophyta; Magnoliopsida; Poales; Poaceae
Description: long non-coding RNA (TAES_LNC017084)
Source: RNAcentral
CACUUACAGGGGGUUGGAGUGCAGCAGACACUUGGUUGGACUCACCCACUGAAGUAUGUGCACCCAGGUUCACAGGCAAGUUUGCCUGCACAAAGAAGUUUUAACAUUCACGGAAAUGUCUACUGACAAUUUGAAAAGCAAUUUUUUUUCAAAGACCACAGAAAUACCUGUGUAUUGCCUUGACUAUUGAAGAUACCAUACAUAGUUGCACUCACUGGAAUAUUCAGGGCAUUCCCUUGUGUUCUGUUUAUAGAAGCAUGUGGAAGCUUCUGAUUUUGCAUCCAGGGGUGUGUAUGUUGCAUCCCUUGGUUCCAAGCAUCAGAAUUCAG